Long non-coding RNA from Prinia subflava (tawny-flanked prinia), 1068 nucleotides. RefSeq lists it as uncharacterized. The record is from RefSeq and is a predicted model, not a curated record. The transcript has 3 exons. NCBI's taxonomy places the organism in Eukaryota, Metazoa, Chordata, Aves, Passeriformes, Cisticolidae.
AUGAGUAUCAUUGGUAGUGUAGAUUGGAUAGACUCUUGCCUCUGAUAUUCUUGACAAUGAAUCUUCCAUCCACUAAUUUUAUAAACAUCUCUCUCUCUCAGAAUGGCUACAGCUGGUUCAUUGAUUGUUUUCAGGCCUUUCAUUCACUGGCAUAUCAAGCUACAUCUAACUUUUAAAAAAAGGCAUUUAAUCUAAGAGUCUAAAAUAUGCCAGUAUGCUACUUCCAUCAUCAUCAUCAUCAUCAUCUCAGCUGUUUUGUAAAUACAGCAAAAGUACUUGCUCAGUUUGCAGCUUCUGCAGUUCACAUAACUGGAGCUUUUAUCCUGCUGUAAAGUAUCACUGAUAACCUUUUAUGUUUGCUUCCUUAGAUCAUGAAUAAAAAAUUCUGUCCAGUCUUGGUAUCAUACAUGGCAAAGCUGGGAUAGAGUUAAUUUUCUUAGUGGCUGGUACGGUGCUGUGUUUUGGAUUCCAUAUGAGAAUAAAUAUUGAAAACACACUCAUGUUUUAGUUGUUGCUAAGUAAUCCUCAGUCUAAAUUCAGGACUUUUCAGUUUCCCAGGCUCUGCCAAUGAGGUGCACCAGGAUCUGAGGGGGAAGCAUGGCCAGGACAGCUGACCUGAGCUCACCAAAGGGAUGUUCCACACCAUGGAGCAUCAAACCAGUACAGAAAUUGGGGGAGGUGGGCAGGAGCUGACAGUCACUGCUUGGGGAUGAGAUGGGCAUUGGUCAGUGCAUGUUACGCACAUUUAUACCAUGAUGGGAUAUGAAAUGAAUUAAAUUCAGCAUGUGUAACACUAGUGAAAGGCAAUGAACUUUACAUCAGGAAGGAACUGGAUUCAUGCUAUAUAUAAGAGGAAUCAAACAGCCUUCAAGUCUGAGUUUCAUGAGACACAAGAGGUUGACACCUAACAAACUACAGUAUGAUGGAUGAAGACCGACACAAAACUUAAACUUUCCCAUGGAAAUAUAUGUUGUGAACUGCACACAAUCAAUUAUUUCAGACAAAGCCCAUGCUGUUUCCUCUUCUAAGACACUACUACAUAUUUAGGUUUUCAGCUUGAAAGCCCAU